RNAcentral lists this transfer RNA (88 nucleotides) under Chlamydiae bacterium RIFCSPHIGHO2_12_FULL_27_8. RNAcentral describes it as "tRNA-Ser". It matches the Rfam family "tRNA". From Rfam's summary of the family: Transfer RNA (tRNA) molecules are approximately 80 nucleotides in length. Their secondary structure includes four short double-helical elements and three loops (D, anti-codon, and T loops). The record is from RNAcentral. Lineage: Bacteria; Pseudomonadati; Chlamydiota.
GGAGAGAUGUCCGAGAGGCUUAAGGAGCACGCUUGGAAAGCGUGUGUUGCGUGCAAACGUACCGUGGGUUCGAAUCCCACUCUCUCCG